This is a long non-coding RNA of Neoarius graeffei (lesser salmon catfish), 5616 nucleotides long. RefSeq lists it as uncharacterized. The transcript has 3 exons. The record is from RefSeq and is a predicted model, not a curated record. Lineage: Eukaryota; Metazoa; Chordata; Actinopteri; Siluriformes; Ariidae.
ACUAACGUUCAAGCAGUGUUACAACAGGGACGCUUCAUGGCAGCGGACUGGAUGUUUUGGAGGCGGAUAGAAAACGCGUUCAUGCUGUGUGUUGUUGCUAAUGGCUGCAUGUUCGAGCAGACAAAUAAAGUGAAUAUAAAGGAGUAAGCCGACCCUCGAGCAUUUCACACCCCCGACAGAUUUAUUUGUUUAUUUAUUUGAUGUACUCCCUUGUUGUUUAGUGAUGAUGCUGAGACAGUUGUGUUCUUCCAUGUAGUUGUGGCUCACAGGGCGAUCUGUGCUCCUGUGCUUUAAACGGAGAUGGAAUGCGUUGGGAGAGGUUGUUCCUCCGUUACGCCACAAGGGGGAGUAUGCGGCUAGGCACAUUCAUUGUGCAAAGUAAACAAGGUGUAAAAACUUUCCCAGCUCCAUCUCGCUUCCUGUGAAGGUGAAUAACAUCACAUCAGGAGCUCCAUGUGUUUGAGGAGUUUUAUUGAGUUAUUUUUUCUUGUUUCUGAUGCUAAGGCUGCUGGUUGGUGGUUUUAUUUGAAAUGUGCUGAGAAUAUCUUUGUGAAGUGCCCAGGCAGUCGGAUCGGUUUGGUGUGUGUGUGUGUGCUCUCACAGAUAAAUGUUCUCAUCAGUGCUUUACUAGACCGCAAUGCAAUCAGCACAAAGAGUUUAGUUUUUGAAUUCUGUAACCACUUGGUGGAAACUACUUGAAUUUGUAAGUUUUUUGCACAAAUGCAGAUAAAAAUAUCGUGAAUAAUCACACAAUCGUCAAGUUUAAAAACUGCACAUUAAUUAGUUCUUAUAGUCCAUUUUGUGGGUGGCACGGUGGUGUAGUGGUUAGCGCUGUCGCCUCACAGCAAGAAGGUCCUGGGUUCAAGCCCCGUGGCCGGCGAGGGCCUUUCUGUGUGGAGUUUGCGUGUUCUCCCCGUGUCCGCGUGGGUUUCCUCCGGGUGCUCCGGUUUCCCCCACAGUCCAAAGACAUGCAGGUUAGGUUAACUGGUGACUCUAAAUUGAGCGUAGGUGUGAAUGUGAGUAUGAAUGGUUGUCUGUGUCUAUGUGUCAGCCCUGUGAUGACAUGGCGACUUGUCCAGGGUGUACCCCGCCUUUCGCCCGUAGUCAGCUGGGAUAGGUUCCAGCUUGCCUGCGACCCUGUAGAAGGAUAAAGCGGCUAGAGAUAAUGAGAUGAGAUGAGUCCAUUUUGUGAAGCGCCCUCUUGGGUCUGAAACUGGAACUGUGUAAUUUUCUAUUUAUUUCUGAUGCUUUGUAGACUUUAUAUAAAGGAACCUUCUACAUGCAAAUAUAGUAUUUAUCAUUCUGCCUGAACAUUUCUGUACAUGAUCAUAUACAGUGGAAACUCCAUAUAAUGAAAUACUGAAUAUAACACUUUUUUUUUUCCUCCUCCGGUCCCAGUGAAAUCAAUUUGCUUUGUAUUGUUUAUUGACUGCUGAUAUAUAUAAAAAAAUCGCUGAUUAUAACAAAGUUCCCUGGUCCCAAGGACCUCGAUAUAAAGAGUUUCCACUGUAUUUAUUUAUUUAUUUAUUUAUUUAUUAUAAUGGCGAUGUUACACUGAAGCAUAAGUUGUGGUAUUUACUGCUAUUGUUAGAAAACACCUUCAGGAGUAACUCAUCAUGACACAAAUUUAUUUCAAAACAAUGUGUGAUUUCUUCAAGAUAAUACAGUAUGUAAUACAGACAGAAGCUUAAACAAGAUCCUGCUGGAAUGAGUUUGUUUCAUUAUUGAAAUGUUCUCAUGGUUGCAAAGACAAGAAAUAGAUCUUUAGGACUGAGAAAACAAGGAUAAUAUUGUGGUUAAAAAAAGGGAAAAACAUCAAAUUACACUUGCUCUUGUGACAUUCAAGUUGAAAGCUAUUUAGGUUUUUGAUGAUAAAAAGUAGAUCAUCUGAUUAAAGGAUGAAAAAUGCUAUGAAUAAAAAAAAAUCGUUUUCGUAUCACAGUGGAGAGGGAGAGGGAGGGACCUGAAAGUUACACUCGUUGACAUUUUCCAGCCAAGACCACUGUCUUCUCAAUCCUACUGACUGAAGCUUUAAAGAGUGAGGUUGUGGUGAUAUUUGUAUGGAACUGAUGGUUAGUAAUCCCUGGUGUGUGGAGCUGAACUUUUUGGUGAAUGAGACCCUGUUCUGUCUGGAAAGGACCCAAGCAGUGCCUUGGGUCUGUGGCCCAAAGUGGGCGGAGCGUGGGGAAGGGGCGUGAGGGGGUGUCUCCCUCCUGUAAGGGGGGUCUGGGCCUCCCCCAGAAAACUUUUAAAUACUGGAUGUUCUUCAAUGCUCUCUAAUGGCAUUUCUGCAAUGAAAUGUUUUAUUUUGCAGAUAUAAAAAGGUACACUUUAUAAUUUUCAGCAGCCAGGCCUAAAAUCAGUCUGAAUGGUGUUAACAUGCACCACAGGAAAAUGUUCCACUGGAUUUUCUGAUGGCAUUUCUGCUGUAAAACAGGUCUUAAAUCUGAAGUCAAUAAAAUGGAACACAUUAAUUUUAAUAUAUAGAGUGUCUAUGUCGUGGGAGUGAUGGUAUUAUGUGUAUUGUACUGUUGUGAUUAUUUAUGUGUUUGAAACCAUUUAAUGGGGGCUGAGCAAAGUGAGAAUGAUACUGGACUCGAUACUAAUGUUAUUUGUGGCAGUUGGACUGACGAAUGGGACAAUGUGGGGGGAGGUUGAGAAACUGUGCUUAAUGUUACAGGUGCCACUGUGAUUGGAGUCUCCGCCGAGACGCUGCACAGCAUAAUAAGCCACAGCUGUGAGCACUUAUGGCCACUUUCGGUACGAGGCUACGGAUUGGCUGAAGCCAUAAUCAGCGCGUAGAUAAAAUGGCUCACUAAAUUGUAACGCAGGUCCCCCUUUUCUUUGGCCUGCACCGCCGCGACACAGAGGGUGGUACCGGAUCCCCGCUCGCCAGAACUGCCAAUGCCGAAAUCUUCUGCUCUGCCGCAACCAGGAAGGGACUGCUCCAUGCUGGCUUGCCGAGGAGGAGAGGUUACGUGUAGACGACGAAAGGAACGAUUAUCCUGCGCACUCUAAUCAAAUUAAAGGAACGGUGAAUUUCAGCUGUUUACUGAGCGAGUGUGUUUAACCCUUGUGCUGCGAAGUACUCAGAUGAUUGUUUAUUUCUGACAGAUACUAUGGUGGCAGCGGCAACUGGAUUGGGAGUUCCGGGUCUCGGGAGCAGCGUCAUCGCGCUGAGCAGCCGUACGUGCGAUGGGUGGUACAACGCGGCCGUCAACUUAAAGAUUUAAGUGCAGACUUUAAGAAGAAGCCGAGGUGAAUUUUACAGGAACGACAGAAGACACGGUGUGGAGGUGGAGAGCAGGAAGGAGUGUCAAAAAACAGGGAAAAGCUGAGAUCAUCUUAUUCAGACAAAAGCAGCAGGAUGAAGUCAGAGACAGCAGGGUGUCACAAGGAGACGAGGUGCUCAUUUACAAUCACACUCAUGCACUCAGACAGGACAUUUUGGAGACUCUGACUCCAUCUUCUGCUUUCAGAUGAAUUUUAAAUCAAUUUUACUGAACAACAAACAGCAUUACCAAAGACAUGCAGGUUAGGUUAACUGGUGACUCUAAAUUGACCGUAGGUGUGAGUGUUGAAUGGUUGUCUGUGUGUCAGCCCUGUGAUGACCUGGCGACUUGUCCAGGGUGUACCCUGCCUCUUGCCCGUAGUCAGCUGGGAUAGGCUCCAGCUUGCCUGCGACCCUGUAGAACAGGAUAAAGCGGCUAGAGAUGAUGAGAUGAGAUGAAAAUGAGAUUAAAUUAUUCUUUUUCCCAACAUUCACCUAAAAAGGUUAUUACUUACCUGAGUGUCUGUAGUUUGUAAUGUUCAUCAUCCUUAAGAGCAGAGAGCAGCUUCUCUCCUGAGUCUCCUAUUUUAUUCCCAAACAGAUCCAGUUCUCUCAGGUGUGAGGGAUUUGAUCUCAGAGCUGAAGCGAGAGCAGCACAGCCUUCAUCUGAGACACCACAAUACCACAACCUGCAGAGACACAAUGACACACACUUCACUGCCUCAGUUUAUGAACAUCAAGAUUUGCUUUGAUGUUUUUGCUUUGCUUUCUAAUGAGCUCUUGGAGAAGUCGUUCGCUCAGAGGUUCACACACUUUUUAAACCCCAGAGUGUGAAUGUUUAAAUGGUUUAUUCAGGACUGACGAGAACAAGUGUGACUUUUCUUUAGACAGAAUGUGUUUGUCUACGAUUCUGACUCGGAUGAAGAUUAGACCAUGUUUUAUUAUUAAAGAAAACCAGGCAAUGUCAAAGUCUUCAAAAACUUUUUUGCAAACACAAGGAGUGAAAUAAUUUUUAAAAAAUUCCCUGUUAUUUAUGAAAACAUUUUGUGAAUUUUUCCAAGUAUGUGAAAGAAUUUUAAUUUCAGAAGAGAAAACGUCUGUUCAUUACAGUUCUCUCUCUCUCAUGCUGAGAUGUUUUUUUCUUCUGUGUAAAACCACUCGCCCACACUCCAUUCCCUCCCAGUGAAGCCGUGUGUCUGGGCGGGGCUCAAAAUGAUGCAUUAAAUCCUGUUGUCCAAUGAGCUUUCGUCUUUCUGCUCAUUAAAACAGCGAGUACACAAACACCUAACAGACACUAAUGGAUGCAGAGGCUUCAGUGGGGGUCUGUUAGCUCUGUGUCAGGGGCUUUUCACACAGGCUGCACUGUUCACCACUAAACAGUGUGAGUUUAAUGAACAAACAGCGCGAUAUUGCAGUGAGAUACUCCAUCAAUCUGAUUCACUAAAAUAUUGAACGACAGCAAGACUGAUGAAUAAAAUAGACACUUUGGGAAAUGUUUCAUUGCUGCAUUUUUUUUUUUUUUUUGUAAUUUUUUUUUUUAUUAUUGACAUUCAGAAUCAGACAUUCACAUCCGGUACAUCAUAUGUUCAUACAUCUUACAUCUGUUGUCUGCCCCAAAUAGCAUUUUUGUUUUGUAUCUGAAGAAUGAAAAGAGAAAUAAACGAAGAAGAAAAAAAAACCUAUGUACAAGUAGGGAGUGAUCCUUUUUAUCCAGCACGGUCACUGGUUUGUGAAAAUAAAAUCAGGCCUAUGGGGCGUGACAUAUUUGACCCAGUUUUCCCAGUGUGAAGCGAAUUUCUCCAAUUUGUGAUUAAUGAAAGCUGUUAUCUUCAUUUUAUAAAUGUCCAUUGUAAUGUCCAUCCAUAUAUUUAAAGUUGGGCUCUCCUGUGAUAACCAUUUCCUGGUAAUACUCUUUUUACAGGCCACCAGCAAUAUAUUUAUUAAGUGUUUCUCCCUUUUCGGCCAUUCCUCAGGUAUGUGUCCGAAAAACAUAAUCUUACUCUCGAGGGGUAUUUCACAUUUGAAGAUAUCCUGUAGGGCAUUGUGUAUCUCUCUCCAAUAGUCCUUCAUGACUGGGCAGUCCCAGAAAACAUGGUAAUGGUUUGCACUUUGAUUUCCGCAGUUCCUCCAACAGACAGGGGAGUUAUUAUCAUAGUGAGACUUCUGAGAAGGCGUAAUGAAGUACCUAAUCAGGCUUUUCCAGCCAAAUUCCCUCCACUUCUUUGAGCUGGUACACAUCCAUUGAUACUUCCAUAUUGUUGUCCAUUCUUCCUCAGAUAUAGUUUUGCCUCCUUCCUUCUCCCAUUUUAUUUUAAUAUAUAAAGUUGAAUGUGGUUUCAAAUUUG